Molecule: ribosomal RNA, 203 nt
Filed under: Clostridioides difficile
Lineage: Bacteria; Bacillati; Bacillota; Clostridia; Peptostreptococcales; Peptostreptococcaceae
Description: partial 16S ribosomal RNA
Rfam family: Bacterial small subunit ribosomal RNA
Source: RNAcentral
CCGAAAGGUAUGCUAAUACGGGAUAAUAUAUUUGAGAGGCAUCUCUUGAAUAUCAAAGGUGAGCCAGUACAGGAUGGACCCGCGUCUGAUUAGCUAGUUGGGAAGGUAACGGCUUACCAAGGCGACGAUCAGUAGCCGACCUGAGAGGGUGAUCGGCCACAUUGGAACUGAGACACGGUCCAAACUCCUACGGGAGGCAGCAG